ACUGGACUUGCACUUGGGAAUCUACUGA
Molecule: non-coding RNA, 28 nt
Filed under: Cricetulus griseus (Chinese hamster)
Lineage: Eukaryota; Metazoa; Chordata; Mammalia; Rodentia; Cricetidae
Source: RNAcentral